RNAcentral lists this long non-coding RNA (395 nucleotides) under Capsella rubella. RNAcentral describes it as "long non-coding RNA (CRUB_LNC004204)". Lineage: Eukaryota; Viridiplantae; Streptophyta; Magnoliopsida; Brassicales; Brassicaceae. The record is from RNAcentral.
GGAGAUGAUUGCUCAAGAUGAAACCUCCUACUCGAAUUCAAAAUACUCACACUUAGAGAGAAAAAGAGAAGAAGAAGAAACGGUUCGAAGAGAAGAAGAAGAAACGAGUUGCGAUUAGGGAUUGAGUUUUUUUUUAAUUUUUACAAAUUUUUUAUUAUUUUGGGUUUCUGGGUUUUAUUAAUGAGUGGGUGGAUAUAUUUGGGUUUCGGAAUGUAAUAAUACAAUUUUUAUGAGGGUAGAGUUGUAAUUGAAUGGUUUUUCGAUUUAAAAAAAAAAAACAGAAAACAAAGAAAGAAUAGAGAUUGCUUCUACCCAAAAAAUGGCUCACGAGACGAAUUCUCUUUAAAAAUGGAUACAUCAAAAAGGGUAUUUCUCAAAAAAUUUCCUAACUUAUU